UGUGCACAGUGAACCUAUGGGGUUUACUAGA
RNAcentral lists this non-coding RNA (31 nucleotides) under Homo sapiens (human). Lineage: Eukaryota; Metazoa; Chordata; Mammalia; Primates; Hominidae. The record is from RNAcentral.